Molecule: unclassified non-coding RNA, 548 nt
Filed under: Baloskion tenuiculme
Lineage: Eukaryota; Viridiplantae; Streptophyta; Magnoliopsida; Poales; Restionaceae
Description: partial miscellaneous RNA
Source: RNAcentral
UACCCAAUAUCUUGUUAAAACAAGAUAUUGGGUAUUUUUUGUUUUCUUCUGUUUGAUUCCCAUCGAUUUUGGAUUCUAAAUCCUCAUUAACGAGUUUAACGACGAGAUUGAUUAUCGUCUUUUUCUUGAUAUUUCGUGUAAGUCAGAGUAGGCACGAAUUCCCCCAAUUUAUGACCUACCAUAUAAUCGGUUAUAUAAAUAGGUAAAUGCUCCUUUCCAUUAUGAAUAGCAAUCGUAUGGCCAAUCAUUGAGAGUGUAAUGGUAGAUGCCCGAGACCAAGUUACUAUUGUUUCUUUCUCCUUCCUCAUGUUGAGUUUUUCAAUCUUUCUGGUUAAAUGAUUAGCUACAAAAGGAUCUUCCUUUUCGACAAAAGACUUCUUUUUUACAAAAAGCUUUCUUUUUUGCAAACGUCUCACAGUUGAUUACUCCUUUUUUUACAUUGGAAAGGUUGGCAUUCUAUGCCCACUAUCUCGAUCUAAGUAUGGAAGUCAGAAUAAAAUACGAGAAUGGUGAAUAGAAAAAAGAGAAAAUCCUUAAAGGGCGGAUGU